UACGUAGGGUGCGAGCGUUAAUCGGAAUUACUGGGCGUAAAGCGUGCGCAGGCGGUUUUGUAAGCCAGAUGUGAAAGCCCCGGGCUCAACCUGGGAAUGGCAUUUGGGACUGCAAGGCUUGAGUGCGGCAGAGGAGACUGGAAUUCCUGGUGUAGCAGUGAAAUGCGUAGAUAUCAGGAGGAAUACCGAUGGCGAAGGCAGGUCUCUGGGCUGACACUGACGCUCAUGCACGAAAGCCGUGGGGAGC
RNAcentral lists this ribosomal RNA (247 nucleotides) under uncultured bacterium. RNAcentral describes it as "partial 16S ribosomal RNA". It matches the Rfam family "Bacterial small subunit ribosomal RNA", at positions 524 to 769 of the family's 1533-position model. The record is from RNAcentral.